RNAcentral lists this ribosomal RNA (707 nucleotides) under Staphylococcus epidermidis. RNAcentral describes it as "bacterial SSU rRNA". It matches the Rfam family "Bacterial small subunit ribosomal RNA", at positions 85 to 779 of the family's 1533-position model. Lineage: Bacteria; Bacillati; Bacillota; Bacilli; Caryophanales; Staphylococcaceae. The record is from RNAcentral.
UCUGACGUUAGCGGCGGACGGGUGAGUAACACGUGGAUAACCUACCUAUAAGACUGGGAUAACUUCGGGAAACCGGAGCUAAUACCGGAUAAUAUAUUGAACCGCAUGGUUCAAUAGUGAAAGACGGUUUUGCUGUCACUUAUAGAUGGAUCCGCGCCGCAUUAGCUAGUUGGUAAGGUAACGGCUUACCAAGGCAACGAUGCGUAGCCGACCUGAGAGGGUGAUCGGCCACACUGGAACUGAGACACGGUCCAGACUCCUACGGGAGGCAGCAGUAGGGAAUCUUCCGCAAUGGGCGAAAGCCUGACGGAGCAACGCCGCGUGAGUGAUGAAGGUCUUCGGAUCGUAAAACUCUGUUAUUAGGGAAGAACAAAUGUGUAAGUAACUAUGCACGUCUUGACGGUACCUAAUCAGAAAGCCACGGCUAACUACGUGCCAGCAGCCGCGGUAAUACGUAGGUGGCAAGCGUUAUCCGGAAUUAUUGGGCGUAAAGCGCGCGUAGGCGGUUUUUUAAGUCUGAUGUGAAAGCCCACGGCUCAACCGUGGAGGGUCAUUGGAAACUGGAAAACUUGAGUGCAGAAGAGGAAAGUGGAAUUCCAUGUGUAGCGGUGAAAUGCGCAGAGAUAUGGAGGAACACCAGUGGCGAAGGCGACUUUCUGGUCUGUAACUGACGCUGAUGUGCGAAAGCGUGGGGAUCAAACAGGAUU